UACGUAGGGUGCAAGCGUUAAUCGGAAUUACUGGGCGUAAAGCGUGCGCAGGCGGUGAUGUAAGACAGAUGUGAAAUCCCCGGGCUCAACCUGGGAACUGCAUUUGUGACUGCAUCGCUGGAGUGCGGCAGAGGGGGAUGGAAUUCCGCGUGUAGCAGUGAAAUGCGUAGAUAUCAGGAGGAACACCGAUGGCGAAGGCAGGUCUCUGGGCUGACACUGACGCUCAUGCACGAAAGCGUGGGGAGCAAACAGG
This 253-nucleotide ribosomal RNA is filed under the name uncultured bacterium. RNAcentral's name for it is "partial 16S ribosomal RNA". It matches the Rfam family "Bacterial small subunit ribosomal RNA", at positions 524 to 776 of the family's 1533-position model. The record is from RNAcentral.